AUGUCACUCCGGCUUCCACUUCCGCAAGGGCUCUCCUUUUUCAAAAGUGUUGGGUGGUUUGAAGACAGUAAGGUUGAUUCAGCUGCCAAGCAACAGUUGUCUCCAAAAUUUAAGCUCCAGACAGACAAGGAAGUGUAUAGACCUGGUGAUUCAGUUACUGCGACUAUCGAAAUCUGUAGUCCCGCUAGUUUAAAGGAUGAAGCGGAGGCAGCGUCAGGUGGAGUCACAUCUCUCUUGGUAGAUGGGCUAUCUUUCGAACUUAAAGGAAUUGAGAAGUUGGAUAGCCAAUGGUUCUCUGUUCCAAAGCCCAUACCAGGGUCUAAGCAAAGGAGAGGUGAAUAUUUGUUUUUGGAUUGUUCUUCACCCUCAUUAAUCUCCAAAGUAAUAAUUGCUUCGGGGCAAACAAAAACGUAUAUUGUACGUCUAGAGCUCCCAAGGGUUUUACCACCAUCAUAUAGGGGCAUCAGUAUUCGCUAUAUUUAUUAUGUUAGAAGUACAUUGUUUGGGAGAUUGAUUGACUUGGGUAAUGAGGAUCAAACUAAAGGCAAUGUAAAUAGUGCGGUUCAGCUGGAAGCCCGAGUCCCAUUGCAGAUAUGUGUUUCCCAGAAAAGCAGCAACUUACUAAAUGAAGAAGGUCACAUCUCGUGCUGUGAUUGUUAUAUGGAUCUUUUCGAAGUUUUCAUAACCUUCACAUCUUUGUGCGGGAGUUUUCCACUCUCGGUUGAGCAACUGAGUAUAUUUUGGAGGGAAAAAGAUGAUGAGUCAGAAUGGAUCAAAGCAAAUGAUAAUACUGAUCUAGAAGAAGGAUAUGAUAGUUCGAAAGAUGAAGUUUCAUCGGUUUCCUCAUACAACCCUUCCAAAUCAAAUAUGGACUUUCCCAUCAGGACCUCAACAUCGACGCUCUCCUUAUCAUCACGUCUCUCCAUGAAUGAAGCAUUGUAUUCUCAGGGAGAGCGCCCCACUUUCCCGUCAUAUAAUGCAAUUCCUCGAUUCUCAGUGUCCGAGAUUUCUGAUGACCAUGGUGGAGGACCGGUAUCACCUCUAAGGAAGCUAGAUCAUUUGCAUUUGGAUCGUCGUCCAUCAAAUGGUGAAAGAUUUUCUCUAGAUUCUGAUCGCCCAAAAGAUGACGUUGGACUCCCUCUCACGCCAAAACAUGUUGAACCAUCUGGAUCAGAAGGCUUUAUGAGAGGAAGAUCAUAUAAUAUACGAAUAGAUGAUCAAGUCUUGCUUCGUUUCUCACCAAAGAAUUCUGACUCAACUUAUUACUUUGGUGAUAUGAUUGGUGGAGCACUCACUUUUUUUCAUGGAACUGGAACGCGGAGAUGUCUAGAGGUAUCUAUAACCUUGGAAACGUCAGAAACAAUUAAUCCUCGUGUAAUACACCCUUCACGAAGGGUCUCACCGACAAUAACCAAGGUACACAGCGAACAUCAUGAAGUUGUUGCAGAUCUUCAUCAGACAAGUUUUCUCUUUUCAAUUCCUAUUGAUGGACCAAUGUCAUUUGCUACCUCAAAGGUUUCUGUACAGUGGUCCCUUAGAUUUGAGUUCUUCACAACUCCGGCAGGAAUGGACUCAUCAAGGUAUGAGCACCCACUUCUUGUUGAGAAAAGAGAGAAGGGGGACUGGGUCCUCCCAAUAACAGUUUAUGCACCGCCAAUGCGUAGACGAGCUACUCAUGGAAGAAACGAUAGAUCUGCGUUGGUUGGAAAUCUUCUCAACUCUUGA
Molecule: ribosomal RNA, 1725 nt
Filed under: Triticum aestivum (bread wheat)
Lineage: Eukaryota; Viridiplantae; Streptophyta; Magnoliopsida; Poales; Poaceae
Description: partial small subunit ribosomal RNA
Source: RNAcentral